Molecule: ribosomal RNA, 301 nt
Filed under: uncultured bacterium
Lineage: Bacteria
Description: partial 16S ribosomal RNA
Rfam family: Bacterial small subunit ribosomal RNA
Source: RNAcentral
CAGCCGCCGCGGGAAUACGUAGGUCCCGAGCGUUGUCCGGAUUUAUUGGGCGUAAAGCGAGCGCAGGCGGUUAGAUAAGUCUGAAGUUAAAGGCUGUGGCUUAACCAUAGUACGCUUUGGAAACUGUUUAACUUGAGUGCAGAAGGGGAGAGUGGAAUUCCAUGUGUAGCGGUGAUAUGCGUAGAUAUAUGGAGGAACACCGGUGGCGAAAGCGGCUCUCUGGUCUGUAACUGACGCUGAGGCUCGAAAGCGUGGGGAGCGAACAGGAUUAGAUACCCCAGUAGUCCCUGUCUCUUAUACA